RNAcentral lists this small RNA (328 nucleotides) under Vigna angularis var. angularis. RNAcentral describes it as "Non-protein coding transcript". The record is from RNAcentral. Lineage: Eukaryota; Viridiplantae; Streptophyta; Magnoliopsida; Fabales; Fabaceae.
UGAGCUGAUUGUGCAAAUCAUAAAUGUAAUGGCUGGCUAUUGGUCAGAAGAACUGCGGCUCAAUCCACAGUACCAGAGGUUGCUCCAAACCACUAAUAGAGUCUGCCAUGGCCUCCGUAAUUAUCAAAUCAGCAAGGCACAUGAUAGUGGAAGCAACAAGAGGAUAACCUGCAUGACUACCCAUCAAAUAGAAUCAGACAUGCGAGAACUUGUGCAAUUGGUGCUCCAAAAUUCCUCAGAUGGUGUGCACACCAAUGUGAAGAAUUCAUUCCUCACAGUGGCCAAGGGCUUCUAUUACGGAGCAUAUUGUGACCCAGAGACCAUAAAC